Molecule: long non-coding RNA, 337 nt
Filed under: Pogona vitticeps (central bearded dragon)
Lineage: Eukaryota; Metazoa; Chordata; Lepidosauria; Squamata; Agamidae
Description: lncRNA (ENSPVIG00000004441.1)
Source: RNAcentral
AUGCAGCAAUUUGACUCCAACACUCUGAACUUCAGCAAGGUUACUGAAUUGUGUGACUUCAGAUCAUAUUAUGUUCUCAUCUUAUGCUAUCUGGGGGAAUCAUUACUGAAAUGGCAACCAUCAUCCAACAGGCUUGCUCAUUUGUGUCUGUGUCUGCAUUUCUUCAAAACCCUUGAGGAGGGAAUUAAAGAGUGCUCCAAGGCUUAUGAACUAGGUAAUCAGGAAAAAUGCAUACAUUACCUACUACAGAAGAAAAAGAAGCACCGAGCAGAUUUAUUAGGGAGGCCUGUUGUAAUGUAAAAAUAAAAAAGAGUGAAAGAAAUAAAAUGCUGAAUUC